CUUUAUUGGAGAGUUUGAUCCUGGCUCAGGAUGAACGCUGGCGGCGUGCCUAAUACAUGCAAGUCGAGCGAAUGGAUUAAGAGCUUGCUCUUAUGAAGUUAGCGGCGGACGGGUGAGUAACACGUGGGUAACCUGCCCAUAAGACUGGGAUAACUCCGGGAAACCGGGGCUAAUACCGGAUAACAUUUUGA
Molecule: ribosomal RNA, 191 nt
Filed under: Bacillus cereus
Lineage: Bacteria; Bacillati; Bacillota; Bacilli; Caryophanales; Bacillaceae
Description: partial 16S ribosomal RNA
Rfam family: Bacterial small subunit ribosomal RNA
Source: RNAcentral